CCGCGUGUUUCAAGGGUUGCGGCACGACCUGAUCCCUUCCCGAACUCAGAAGUCAAACGCAGCACCGCUAAUGAUACUCCAGUGUUUAAGACUGGUGGGAAAGUAGGCAAUGCGCGGU
Molecule: ribosomal RNA, 118 nt
Filed under: Candidatus Doudnabacteria bacterium RIFCSPHIGHO2_02_FULL_49_24
Lineage: Bacteria; Candidatus Doudnaibacteriota
Also listed under: 3 other names
Source: RNAcentral